GAUGAAGAACGCAGCGAAGUGCGAUAAGUAGUGUGAAUUGCAGAAUUUCGUGAAUCAUCGAAUCUUUGAACGCAAAUUGCACUCUCCGGUUUUCCGGGAGAGUAUGCCUGUUUGAGGGUCAGCCUAAAUAAAUUCGGCUUCGUUGCUGUUGUUUUCGCGGUAACGUUUUUAGUCGGGAUUUGGGUCAUCUUAAACCGAAAGGUUUUUAAGCGACUUAAAAUUUUUUUACGAUCCCACGAACGUUUCUAAGUACUUCUUACACGUUCAAGGUAUCGAAAACCCCUAUUAGGCGUGGCCGCCGUAUCGGAUCGCGUCCAUAAUAUUUAUUCUUUAACUGACCUCAGACAGGUAAGAAUACCCGCUGAACUUAAGCAUAUCAAUAAGCGGAGGA
RNAcentral lists this unclassified non-coding RNA (391 nucleotides) under soil metagenome. Its description in RNAcentral is "partial contains 5.8S ribosomal RNA, internal transcribed spacer 2, and large subunit ribosomal RNA". The stretch from base 1 to 121 matches the Rfam family "5.8S ribosomal RNA", at positions 35 to 154 of the family's 154-position model. The record is from RNAcentral.